UGGGAACAUCCUGAUGUGUGGCAUUACCAGAAAGUGUUCAACUAAUGCAAAAGGCCAAUACAUGCUGUGCACCUGAUGGAAGAACUCAAGUUUCUCUGCGACUCGGCGGGGCUGGGUUUUCACUUAGUACAUGAUAAACCGCACCACUUCUGUUCCUCCUAAGGCAUAUCAUGUGCAAGUGACCGUACUUCCACAGAGCCACUCAGUGCCCUGCUCCAUCCAGCCCUGCUUCCAGUAAGCACGAAUCUGCUUUUUCUUGUGGCUCACAUUAUACCUGCACUAUCUUUGGUAGCUGUGCCUGCACAGGUUAGUAGCUCAAGAAACUUUUCUCUGCAUCACCUCCAGGGAAAGAGUUCAGAGAACAAUCAAUGAACCGGGGCUCGAGCACAAGCUGGACCUUGUUCUUAUACUAGUAUACAUAUCUCUUCCUUACCAAUUGGCAGAGUAAGCUAGGUGGUUAGAGUUUUGUCAAACUAUUUGCAAUAAAAAGCAAGGAGUUUCAAUAAAUUUGAGUUUG
This 517-nucleotide long non-coding RNA is filed under the name Anser brachyrhynchus (Pink-footed goose). Its description in RNAcentral is "lncRNA (ENSABRG00000001755.1)". Lineage: Eukaryota; Metazoa; Chordata; Aves; Anseriformes; Anatidae. The record is from RNAcentral.